CCUACGGGGGGCUGCAGUGGGGAAUAUUGGACAAUGGGCGAAAGCCUGAUCCAGCCAUGCCGCGUGUGUGAAGAAGGCCUUCGGGUUGUAAAGCACUUUCAGUGGGGAAGAAAGCCUUGGGGCUAAUACCCUCGAGGAAGGACAUCACCCACAGAAGAAGCACCGGCUAACUCCGUGCCAGCAGCCGCGGUAAUACGGAGGGUGCGAGCGUUAAUCGGAAUUACUGGGCGUAAAGCGCGCGUAGGCGGUCUGAUAAGCCGGUUGUGAAAGCCCCGGGCUCAACCUGGGAACGGCAUCCGGAACUGUCAGGCUAGAGUGCAGGAGAGGAAGGUAGAAUUCCCGGUGUAGCGGUGAAAUGCGUAGAGAUCGGGAGGAAUACCAGUGGCGAAGGCGGCCUUCUGGACUGACACUGACGCUGAGGUGCGAAAGCGUGGGUAGCAAACAGGAUUAGAUCCCCCAGUAGUC
Molecule: ribosomal RNA, 465 nt
Filed under: Vreelandella stevensii
Lineage: Bacteria; Pseudomonadati; Pseudomonadota; Gammaproteobacteria; Oceanospirillales; Halomonadaceae
Description: partial 16S ribosomal RNA
Rfam family: Bacterial small subunit ribosomal RNA
Source: RNAcentral